AUCACCUGGGGAUUUGUUAAAAUGCAGAUUCUGAUUAAUUAGGUUGGGAGCAGGGUCAGAGCUUUUGCAUUUCCAACAAGCUCCCAGGUGAUGCUAA
Molecule: microRNA precursor, 97 nt
Filed under: Equus asinus (donkey)
Lineage: Eukaryota; Metazoa; Chordata; Mammalia; Perissodactyla; Equidae
Also listed under: 1 other name
Description: mir-544 microRNA precursor family
Rfam family: mir-544 microRNA precursor family
Source: Rfam by way of RNAcentral